This 161-nucleotide unclassified non-coding RNA is filed under the name fungal sp. Its description in RNAcentral is "partial internal transcribed spacer region". The stretch from base 1 to 46 matches the Rfam family "Eukaryotic small subunit ribosomal RNA", at positions 1786 to 1831 of the family's 1831-position model. The record is from RNAcentral. Lineage: Eukaryota; Fungi.
AAGUCGUAACAAGGUUUCCGUAGGUGAACCUGCGGAAGGAUCAAUGCGAGUGAAGCCAUGUGUGUAGUAUGUAGGAAUGUGUGUGUAGAGCGAGAGAGAGUGUAUACAAUGAUGACUCAUUUCAUAUUUUACGACUUGCCACCCGGGAUCUCUGGGCUCUC